RNAcentral lists this ribosomal RNA (253 nucleotides) under uncultured bacterium. RNAcentral describes it as "partial 16S ribosomal RNA". It matches the Rfam family "Bacterial small subunit ribosomal RNA", at positions 524 to 776 of the family's 1533-position model. The record is from RNAcentral.
GACGAACCGUGCAAACGUUGUUCGGAAUCACUGGGCUUAAAGGGCGCGUAGGUGGAUGAGCAAGUCUGUGGUGAAAUCCCCCGGCUUAACCGGGGAACUGCCGUGGAUACUGCCCAUCUCGAGGAGGGUAGGGGCGUCUGGAACUAGCGGUGGAGCGGUGAAAUGCGUUGAUAUCGCUAGGAACUCCGGUGGCGAAGGCGGGUCUCUGGGCCGAUAUUGACGCUGAGGAGCGAAAGCGUGGGGAGCGAACAGG